Molecule: ribosomal RNA, 470 nt
Filed under: uncultured bacterium
Lineage: Bacteria
Description: bacterial SSU rRNA
Rfam family: Bacterial small subunit ribosomal RNA
Source: RNAcentral
GACGAACGCUGGCGGCGUGCCUAACACAUGCAAGUCGAGCGGAGACAGUGAGUAGCUUGCUAUGAGCUGUUUUAGCGGCGGACGGGUGAGUAACGCGUGAGCAACCUUUCCCAGACAGGGGAAUAACACACCGAAAGGUGUACUAAUACCGCAUAAGACCACGGGAUCACAUGGUUCUGGGGUAAAAGAUUUAUCGGUUUGGGGUGGGCUCGCGUCCGAUUAGGUAGUUGGUGAGGUAACGGCCCACCAAGCCGACGAUCGGUAGCCGACCUGAGAGGGUGAUCGGCCACAUUGGGACUGAGACACGGCCCAAACUCCUACGGGAGGCAGCAGUGGGGAAUAUUGGGCAAUGGAGGAAACUCUGACCCAGCAACGCCGCGUGGAGGAAGAAGGUUUUCGGAUCGUAAACUCCUGUCCUUGGAGACGAGUAGAAGACGGUAUCCAAGGAGGAAGCCCCGGCUAACUACGUG